CAUUCUCUUCUCUUGGACGCCUCCACUGAAGAAUGCACAGGUGGUUGAUGGAGGAGGCAUAAAUCCUGCUGCCAAGGGUAGGUCCUCGAAACCUGGCAACCCUUGGAGUCUGGCUGAGGAGGAUGCUUCGCCUAGCAACCCCCUGAGUCUGGCUGAGGAGGAUGCUGGUGCUCGAGGAACGCAGGCAGCGCUUUACCAUCCUGCGCUGACCUUGACGACGAACCAACGAGAACAACGACGCAACAGACGAAGCAACACGACAACUAAAGACACUGGAGAGCAUACAACAUGUUUUUAAGCACUGAACACACCAAGCUAAUCAUAACUUCAAUGUAACUUACACUUAACUACUUAUCACUGAGACUACUGAGAUGUGAGGUGAACUAAGUCGCUUAUUGUGUGUUAAUAUGUGGUCCCCAUUUUCCCAUUUUUGGGAUGGUGGGCUCCAGUUGUCUGCGUUGCUUGGUUCGGCAGGAUCGGGGCCUGCUGGUAAAACGCCAAGCCCCAAGAUGAUAAAAAUAAAUAUCCAAUAAAAAUCGAAAAAUCUUCAACAAUC
This is a long non-coding RNA of Alosa sapidissima (American shad), 556 nucleotides long. RefSeq lists it as uncharacterized. The transcript has 2 exons. The record is from RefSeq and is a predicted model, not a curated record. NCBI's taxonomy places the organism in Eukaryota, Metazoa, Chordata, Actinopteri, Clupeiformes, Clupeidae.